Molecule: ribosomal RNA, 253 nt
Filed under: uncultured bacterium
Lineage: Bacteria
Description: partial 16S ribosomal RNA
Rfam family: Bacterial small subunit ribosomal RNA
Source: RNAcentral
UACGGGGGGGGCAAGCGUUGUUCGGAAUUACUGGGCGUAAAGGGCUCGUAGGUGGCCAACUAAGUCAUACGUGAAAUCCCUCGGCUUAACCGGGGAACUGCGUCUGAUACUGGAUGGCUUGAGGUUGGGAGAGGGAUGCGGAAUUCCAGGUGUAGCGGUGAAAUGCGUAGAUAUCUGGAGGAACACCGGUGGCGAAGGCGGCAUCCUGGACCAACACUGACGCUGAGGAGCGAAAGCCAGGGGAGCAAACGGG